This 307-nucleotide ribosomal RNA is filed under the name uncultured bacterium. Its description in RNAcentral is "partial 16S ribosomal RNA". It matches the Rfam family "Bacterial small subunit ribosomal RNA", at positions 506 to 807 of the family's 1533-position model. The record is from RNAcentral.
AGACAGCAGCCGCCGCGGUAAUACAGAGGGUGCAAGCGUUAAUCGGAAUUACUGGGCGUAAAGCGCGCGUAGGUGGUUUGUUAAGUUGGAUGUGAAAUCCCCGGGCUCAACCUGGGAACUGCAUUCAAAACUGACUGACUAGAGUAUGGUAGAGGGUGGUGGAAUUUCCUGUGUAGCGGUGAAAUGCGUAGAGAUCGGAAAGAACACCAAUGGUGAAAGCACUCUACUAGGCCGACACUGACACUAAGAGACGAAAGCUAGGGGAGCAAAUGGGAUUAGAUACCCCCGUAGUCCCUGUCUCUUAUAC